Molecule: ribosomal RNA, 420 nt
Filed under: uncultured bacterium
Lineage: Bacteria
Description: bacterial SSU rRNA
Rfam family: Bacterial small subunit ribosomal RNA
Source: RNAcentral
UGGGGAAUAUUGCACAAUGGAGGAAACUCUGAUGCAGCGACGCCGCGUGAGUGAAGAAGUAAUUCGUUAUGUAAAGCUCUAUCAGCAGGGAAGAUAGUGACGGUACCUGACUAAGAAGCUCCGGCUAAAUACGUGCCAGCAGCCGCGGUAAUACGUAUGGAGCAAGCGUUAUCCGGAUUUACUGGGUGUAAAGGGAGUGUAGGUGGCCAUGCAAGUCAGAAGUGAAAAUCCGGGGCUCAACCCCGGAACUGCUUUUGAAACUGUAAGGCUAGAGUGCAGGAGGGGUGAGUGGAAUUCCUAGUGUAGCGGUGAAAUGCGUAGAUAUUAGGAGGAACACCAGUGGCGAAGGCGGCUCACUGGACUGUAACUGACACUGAGGCUCGAAAGCGUGGGGAGCAAACAGGAUUAGAUACCCUGGUA